Molecule: unclassified non-coding RNA, 230 nt
Filed under: uncultured fungus
Lineage: Eukaryota; Fungi
Description: sequence contains ITS1, 5.8S rRNA gene
Rfam family: 5.8S ribosomal RNA (bases 182-230)
Source: RNAcentral
UCUCCGUAGGUGAACCUGCGGAGGGAUCAUUACUGAGUGAGGGCUCACGCCCGACCUCCAACCCUUUGUGAACCAAACUUGUUGCUUCGGGGGCGACCCUGCCGACGACUCCGUCGCCGGGCGCCCGGUGGACCACCCAACCCUGCAUCGUUGCGUCCGAGUCGAAAUAUAAAUCAAUCAAAACUUUCAACAACGGAUCUCUUGGCUCUGGCAUCGAUGAAGAACGCAGC